Molecule: ribosomal RNA, 553 nt
Filed under: Trichoderma atroviride
Lineage: Eukaryota; Fungi; Ascomycota; Sordariomycetes; Hypocreales; Hypocreaceae
Description: eukaryotic LSU rRNA
Rfam family: 5.8S ribosomal RNA (bases 180-333)
Source: RNAcentral
CCAUGUGAACGUUACCAAACUGUUGCCUCGGCGGGAUCUCUGCCCCGGGUGCGUCGCAGCCCCGGACCAAGGCGCCCGCCGGAGGACCAACCAAAACUCUUAUUGUAUACCCCCUCGCGGGUUUUUUUAUAAUCUGAGCCUUCUCGGCGCCUCUCGUAGGCGUUUCGAAAAUGAAUCAAAACUUUCAACAACGGAUCUCUUGGUUCUGGCAUCGAUGAAGAACGCAGCGAAAUGCGAUAAGUAAUGUGAAUUGCAGAAUUCAGUGAAUCAUCGAAUCUUUGAACGCACAUUGCGCCCGCCAGUAUUCUGGCGGGCAUGCCUGUCCGAGCGUCAUUUCAACCCUCGAACCCCUCCGGGGGGUCGGCGUUGGGGAUCGGCCCUGCCUUGGCGGUGGCCGUCUCCGAAAUACAGUGGCGGUCUCGCCGCAGCCUCUCCUGCGCAGUAGUUUGCACACUCGCAUCGGGAGCGCGGCGCGUCCACAGCCGUUAAACACCCAACUUCUGAAAUGUUGACCUCGGAUCAGGUAGGAAUACCCGCUGAACUUAAGCAUAUC